GACGAACGCUGGCGGCGUGCUUAACACAUGCAAGUCGAACGGAAAGGCCCUGCUUUUGUGGGGUGCUCGAGUGGCGAACGGGUGAGUAGCACGUGAGUAACCUGCCCUUGACUUUGGGAUAACUUCAGGAAACUGGGGCUAAUACCGGAUAGGAGCUCCUGCUGCAUGGUGGGGGUUGGAAAGUUUCGGCGGUUGGGGAUGGACUCGCGGCUUAUCAGCUUGUUGGUGGGGUAGUGGCUUACCAAGGCUUUGACGGGUAGCCGGCCUGAGAGGGUGACCGGCCACAUUGGAACUGAGAAACGGCCCAGACUCCUACGGGAGACAGCAGUGGGGAAUAAUGCACAAUGGGCGGAAGCCUGAUGCAGCAACGCCGCGUGCGGGAUGACGGCCUUCGGGUUGUAAACCGCUUUCGCCUGUGACGAAGCGUGAAUGACGGUAAUGGGUAAAGAAGCUCCGGCUAACUACGUG
Molecule: ribosomal RNA, 468 nt
Filed under: uncultured bacterium
Lineage: Bacteria
Description: partial 16S ribosomal RNA
Rfam family: Bacterial small subunit ribosomal RNA
Source: RNAcentral